This 336-nucleotide unclassified non-coding RNA is filed under the name soil metagenome. RNAcentral's name for it is "partial contains 5.8S ribosomal RNA, internal transcribed spacer 2, and large subunit ribosomal RNA". The stretch from base 1 to 120 matches the Rfam family "5.8S ribosomal RNA", at positions 35 to 154 of the family's 154-position model. The record is from RNAcentral.
GAUGAAGAACGCAGCGAAAUGCGAUAAGUAGUGUGAAUUGCAGAAUUCAGUGAAUCAUCGAAUCUUUGAACGCACAUUGCGCCCCUUGGUAUUCCAUGGGGCAUGCCUGUUCGAGCGUCAUUUGUACCUUCAAGCUCCGCUUGGUGUUGGGUGUUUGUCUCGCCUCUGCGUGUAGACUCGCCUCAAAACAAUUGGCAGCCGGCGUAUUGAUUUCGGAGCGCAGUACAUCUCGCGCUUUGCACUCAUAACGACGACGUCCAAAAGUACAUUUUUACACUCUUGACCUCGGAUCAGGUAGGGAUACCCGCUGAACUUAAGCAUAUCAAAAGCGGAGGA